This is a long non-coding RNA of Helicoverpa zea (corn earworm), 325 nucleotides long. RefSeq lists it as uncharacterized. The transcript is spliced from 2 exons. Lineage: Eukaryota; Metazoa; Arthropoda; Insecta; Lepidoptera; Noctuidae. The record is from RefSeq and is a predicted model, not a curated record.
GCAGUACGUGCCUGACCGACCGGCUCCGUCACUGGAAUACGAGCAAGGAGGUUUCAAUCACUUUGCUAAAGGUGUUUGUUCUAACCAGAGCCUUGGUCGAUGAUGGGACGCCGUUCUCAGGCCAGGAGAGGAAGUGGAACUGCGUGACGGUGCGAGUCUCGCCGGUGCGUUGGUUCUUCAGGUAGAAGCUGCGCACCAAGUAGUCGUCGCACCAGAUAUGCUCGCUCACCAGAUGCACCUUAAAUAUGUCAAGACACUUUUAUUAGGAACUGUUAUGUAUUAAGCAUUUUCAAAUUAUUUUAAUAAUUAUGACCUAAUUAAUAGA